RNAcentral lists this ribosomal RNA (465 nucleotides) under uncultured bacterium. Its description in RNAcentral is "partial 16S ribosomal RNA". It matches the Rfam family "Bacterial small subunit ribosomal RNA", at positions 338 to 795 of the family's 1533-position model. The record is from RNAcentral.
CCUACGGGAGGCAGCAGUGGGGAAUAUUGCGCAAUGGGCGAAAGCCUGACGCAGCGACGCCGCGUGAGGGAUGAAGGUCUUCGGAUCGUAAACCUCUGUCAGCAGGGAAGAACGGUCACUGUGCUAAUCAGCAGUGAAUUGACGGUACCUGCAAAGGAAGCACCGGCUAACUCCGUGCCAGCAGCCGCGGUAAUACGGGGGGUGCGAGCGGUAAUCGGAAUUACUGGGCGUAAAGCGCUCGUAGGCGGUAUGUCAAGUCAAGGGUGAAAUCCCCGCGCUCAACGUGGGAACUGCCUUUGAAACUGGCAAACUGGAGUGUGUGAGAGGAUAGUGGAAUUCCAGGUGUAGGAGUGAAAGCCGUAGAUAUCUGGAGGAACAUCAGUGGCGAAGGCGACUAUCUGGCACAUAACUGACGCUGAGGAGCGAAAGCGUGGGUAGCAAACAGGAUUAGAUACCCUUGUAGUC